Molecule: long non-coding RNA, 1286 nt
Filed under: Homo sapiens (human)
Lineage: Eukaryota; Metazoa; Chordata; Mammalia; Primates; Hominidae
Description: HSALNT0290108
Source: RNAcentral
CCUCAGCGGCCUCAGGCCUGUGCCGCGCGACUGGAGUGUCCGGCCCCCUGGCACGGCGCCGGGGCGGAGCCGCUGAAGCCAGCGCAGAAAUGAUAGGGCCAGGAAGCUGCCAGCCACGUGGGGGCGGGACCCGGGCUCUGUGGGGCGGGGCGGGUCCGGCCCAACCUCCACCGAUACUCUAGGUUGGCUUGCUCUCCUCCGAAGCUGGGUUUUGUCAAACUGCAUUCGUUCAGCAAGCAUUUAUUGCGUGCAGAUCUGGGUAGGGACGCUUGGAAUCCCAGCGGAUAGAACAGUGGCCCAAAGUCCCUGCCACCCAGGGAGUUGACGUUUUAUUGAGAAAGCCAUACAAACAACCCCAUAAACAAGUUCAUAAAGCCUAAAGCGAUGUGUAGAAAACAAACUACUGGAAGGAAGAGUAACUGGGAGAAAGGUGGAGUGGGGAGGCCAGAGCCUGCUUAGUCAGAUCAGCAGGGCAGGCCUCUGGGAAGGCGGAUUUCAACCUGAGAUGAGAGGCGCCUGCCGCGAGUGGGGAAGGCGGAUUUCAACCUGAGAUGAGAGGCGCCUGCCGCGGGUGAGGAAGUAGACCCGGCAGAGCUGAAAGUACCUGCAGAAGACCUUUGGAAAGAAGUCAGUUUGCUGAUGAGAAACCGAAACAAACUUUAUCAGGUCCAUUUCUCCCUCAGGGCUUCCUUGCCUGUUUUCAUUCAUAGCUAACUCUGGCCUUCAAGCCACACCCUGAUGUUGAAAGUCUCAUGGGCACAAGUCUCUCCGAUGUCAACAGCUAUACUUUGGUGGAGUACCUUGCUUGGAGAAGAGAGAGCUGGAGAGUCGUGUGACAUGAAGUCAGAAAACUAGAAAGGACCAGAUCAUCGUGGGACCUGUAAUUCGGGAAAGGGACUUGGAUUUUCCUAUUGUAAACAUAAGCAAAAGUCCUCUUCCACCCGUAUUAUAUUGUUUCCUAGGGGUUCUACGAUAAGAAUGGAAAUACAUUCAUGAGGAAAAAAGGAUCUACAGGAACAGAGCCAUGUGUCUGGGGAUGUCCCUCACCUAUCCACUCAUCUAUCCCAGGGUCCAUGCCAGCAGCCAUCUAGUCUACCACAGACGGGGUCGGCUCUGCACAUCACUUUAGAAAGACCAUCUAUUUAGGGAACUCCAAAGCCACAUCCUGAAUUUUGGUAAUUGUGUAAAAGCCAGUUUCCUCCUCAUCGCCUAUACUAAAAAGCACUUUUCACAAGGGGAGCGGUUUUCUUCUGUUCACUGGGGUAUGCGGAAAUGCUGGGUACCAA